RNAcentral lists this ribosomal RNA (419 nucleotides) under bacterium. Its description in RNAcentral is "partial 16S ribosomal RNA". It matches the Rfam family "Bacterial small subunit ribosomal RNA", at positions 355 to 776 of the family's 1533-position model. The record is from RNAcentral.
UGGGGUAUAUUGCACAAUGGGCGAAAGCCUGAUGCAGCGACGCCGCGUGGGGGAUGAAGGCCUUCGGGUUGUAAACUUCUUUUGCUCUGAACAAGGCAUGCUAAUGGGUGUGUGGAGUGUAGGGGUUGAUUAGCGCCGGCUAACUACGUGCCAGCAGCCGCGGUAAUACGUAGGGCGCGAGCGUUGUCCGGAAUUAUUGGGCGUAAAGGGCUUGUAGGUGGCUGGUUGCGUCUGUCGUGAAAGCUCAUGGCUUAACUGUGGGUUUGCGGUGGGUACGGGCUGGCUUGAGUGCAGUAGGGGAGGCUGGAAUUCCUGGUGUAGCGGUGGAAUGCGCAGAUAUCAGGAGGAAUACCGGUGGCGAAGGCGGGUCUCUGGGCUGUUACUGACACUGAGGAGCGAAAGCAUGGGGAGCGAACAGG